UAUUCCCCUUCCUGUGUCCAUGUGAUCUCAUUGUUCAAUUCCCACCUAUGAGAAUAUGCGGUGUUUGGUUUUUUGUUCUUGCGAUAGUUUACUGAGAAUGAUGAUUUCCAGUUUCAUCCAUGUCCCUACAAAGGACAUGAACUCAUCAUUUUUUAUGGCUGCAUAGUAUUCCAUGGUGUAUAUGUGCCACAUUUUCUUAAUCCAGUCUAUCAUUGUUGGACAUUUGGGUGACAAAGCUUUUAAAGGAAGUUCUCAACCUUUAUUACACGUAAUUCAUACUGGACAGAAACCCUACAAGUGUGAAGAAUGUGGCAUGGCCUAUAAGAAGUUCUCAAUUCCAUUUUUUUUUUUUUUUUUGAGAUGAAAUUUCAGUCUUGUCACCCAGGCUGGAGUACAAUGGCAUGAUCUUGGCUCACUGCAACCUCUACCUCCUGGGUUCAAGCCAUUCUCCUGUCUUAGCCUCCCAAGUAGCUGGGAUUACAGUUGCCCACCACCACGUCUGGCUAAUUUUUUGUAUUUCUAGUAGAGACGGGGUUUCACAAUGUUGGCCAGUCUGGUCUCGAACUCUUGACCUCAGGUGAUCCACCCACCUUGGCCUCCCAAAGUCCUAGGGUUACAGGCAUGAGCCACCAUGCCUGGCUACAGGUUUUCAAUUCUUAAGAGACAUGGUGAUAAUUCAUGCUGGAGAGGAAAUCUACAAACCUGAAAGAUGUGACAGUGCUUUUUACCAACACCUCCAAAUUUCCUAUACAUAAAAAUAAAUUACACUAAUGUGAAACCCUAGAAAUGUAUAAAAUGUGACAAAGCCUUUAUAUGGUUGUGACACUGAUUGUAGGUAAGAUAAUUCAUACUGGCAAAACUCCUACAAGUGUGAAGAAUGUGGUAAAACUUUUAAUCAGUGCUUACACCGUAUUUCACAGGAAAGCUAUUAUCCUUGAGAAAAAUUGUACAAAUAUAAAGAAUAUGGAAAAGCCAUUAAUGCCCAUCACAUCUUACUCAACAGAAGAAAGCUCGUAGUUAAUAAAAGCAUGAAAAGGGCAAUUACUGUCAAAAAAUCUUUCAGAAAAUAUAAGCCUUUAGAGUGAAGAAUAUUUAUUUUGAAGACAGCCAUUACAAAUAUAAAGUGGGUUGUAGUGCCUUUACUUGUGUCACAGAUCUUAUUGAACACAUUUGUACUAGAAGAAAACCCUGAAGCAGUUGCUCAAGCUUUGCUCAACAUUGGAAUUUAUAUUGGAGAAGAGUCCUGCUAAUGAAUUUGGAAAGCCCUUUUUUUUUUUUUCAAAAACUGCAGCUUAGAAAACACCAGAGAGCUUAUACUAAAAUAUAUUUUUGCAGAUGCAGUAAAUAUAAAAAAAUUUAAUUCAAAAUUGAUUCUAUGUAAAUAUCAGAUAAUUUACAGCAAAAUAACUAAGGCACUGACACUUCAGACAUUACACUAAAUCAGAGUGUUGAGUAUAAAAACUAAUCCACAGCUACAGCUGUUAAAUUAUUUGUAUAUAACUUUAAAAGUAGUAGAUUUUUUUUUUUUUUUUUGAGACGGAGUCUCGCUCUGUCGCCCAGGCUGGAGUGCAGUGGCGGGAUCUCGGC
This 1587-nucleotide long non-coding RNA is filed under the name Homo sapiens (human). RNAcentral describes it as "non-protein coding lnc-ZNF253-3:1". The record is from RNAcentral. Lineage: Eukaryota; Metazoa; Chordata; Mammalia; Primates; Hominidae.